Molecule: ribosomal RNA, 1513 nt
Filed under: Enterobacter cloacae
Lineage: Bacteria; Pseudomonadati; Pseudomonadota; Gammaproteobacteria; Enterobacterales; Enterobacteriaceae
Description: 16S ribosomal RNA
Rfam family: Bacterial small subunit ribosomal RNA
Source: RNAcentral
CUCUAGAUUAGAGUUUGAUCCUGGCUCAGAUUGAACGCUGGCGGCAGGCCUAACACAUGCAAGUCGAACGGUAGCACAGAGAGCUUGCUCUCGGGUGACGAGUGGCGGACGGGUGAGUAAUGUCUGGGAAACUGCCUGAUGGAGGGGGAUAACUACUGGAAACGGUAGCUAAUACCGCAUAAUGUCGCAAGACCAAAGAGGGGGACCUUCGGGCCUCUUGCCAUCAGAUGUGCCCAGAUGGGAUUAGCUAGUAGGUGGGGUAACGGCUCACCUAGGCGACGAUCCCUAGCUGGUCUGAGAGGAUGACCAGCCACACUGGAACUGAGACACGGUCCAGACUCCUACGGGAGGCAGCAGUGGGGAAUAUUGCACAAUGGGCGCAAGCCUGAUGCAGCCAUGCCGCGUGUAUGAAGAAGGCCUUCGGGUUGUAAAGUACUUUCAGCGGGGAGGAAGGUGUUGUGGUUAAUAACCACAGCAAUUGACGUUACCCGCAGAAGAAGCACCGGCUAACUCCGUGCCAGCAGCCGCGGUAAUACGGAGGGUGCAAGCGUUAAUCGGAAUUACUGGGCGUAAAGCGCACGCAGGCGGUCUGUCAAGUCGGAUGUGAAAUCCCCGGGCUCAACCUGGGAACUGCAUUCGAAACUGGCAGGCUAGAGUCUUGUAGAGGGGGGUAGAAUUCCAGGUGUAGCGGUGAAAUGCGUAGAGAUCUGGAGGAAUACCGGUGGCGAAGGCGGCCCCCUGGACAAAGACUGACGCUCAGGUGCGAAAGCGUGGGGAGCAAACAGGAUUAGAUACCCUGGUAGUCCACGCCGUAAACGAUGUCGAUUUGGAGGUUGUGCCCUUGAGGCGUGGCUUCCGGAGCUAACGCGUUAAAUCGACCGCCUGGGGAGUACGGCCGCAAGGUUAAAACUCAAAUGAAUUGACGGGGGCCCGCACAAGCGGUGGAGCAUGUGGUUUAAUUCGAUGCAACGCGAAGAACCUUACCUGGUCUUGACAUCCACAGAACUUAGCAGAGAUGCUUUGGUGCCUUCGGGAACUGUGAGACAGGUGCUGCAUGGCUGUCGUCAGCUCGUGUUGUGAAAUGUUGGGUUAAGUCCCGCAACGAGCGCAACCCUUAUCCUUUGUUGCCAGCGGUUAGGCCGGGAACUCAAAGGAGACUGCCAGUGAUAAACUGGAGGAAGGUGGGGAUGACGUCAAGUCAUCAUGGCCCUUACGACCAGGGCUACACACGUGCUACAAUGGCGCAUACAAAGAGAAGCGACCUCGCGAGAGCAAGCGGACCUCAUAAAGUGCGUCGUAGUCCGGAUUGGAGUCUGCAACUCGACUCCAUGAAGUCGGAAUCGCUAGUAAUCGUAGAUCAGAAUGCUACGGUGAAUACGUUCCCGGGCCUUGUACACACCGCCCGUCACACCAUGGGAGUGGGUUGCAAAAGAAGUAGGUAGCUUAACCUUCGGGAGGGCGCUUACCACUUUGUGAUUCAUGACUGGGGUGAAGUCGUAACAAGGUAACCGUA